UGGGGAAUCUUGCACAAUGGGCGAAGCCUGAUGCAGCCAUGCCGCGUGAGUGAAGAGGGCCUUAGGGUUGUAAAACUCUUUCAGCGGGGAGGAGAUGACGGUACCCGCAGAAGAAGCCCCGGCUAACUCCGUGCCAGCAGCCGCGGUAAUACGGAGGGGGCUAGCGUUGUUCGGAUUUACUGGGCGUAAAGCGCACGUAGGCGGAUUAUUAAGUCGGGGGUGAAAGCCCGAGGCUCAACCUCGGAACUGCCCUCGAUACUGGUAAUCUUGAGUCCGGGAGAGGUGAGUGGAAUUCCUAGUGUAGAGGUGAAAUUCGUAGAUAUUAGGAAGAACACCAGUGGCGAAGGCGGCUCACUGGCCCGGUACUGACGCUGAGGAGCGAAAGCGUGGGGAGCAAACAGGAUUAGAUACCCUGGUAGUCCACGCCGUAAACGAUGGAUGCUAGCUGUCGGUGGGCAUGCCCUUCGGUGGCGCAGCUAACGCAUUAAGCAUCCCGCCUGGGGAGUACGGUCGCAAGAUUA
Molecule: ribosomal RNA, 521 nt
Filed under: uncultured bacterium
Lineage: Bacteria
Description: bacterial SSU rRNA
Rfam family: Bacterial small subunit ribosomal RNA
Source: RNAcentral